AUCGCGCUACACAAGACGUGAACCCUGCGACCUCCAGCAGUGUCAUGGCUGUGCUGCGUGGAUCUACACACGACCACGGGGAGGAAACCGGAGCAGAGGAGCAGGAGGCGAAGGACAUGUCACGUUGGGCGGGGGAGGAUGGAGCCAUUGAACAUCUGCCAUGAGUUUUAGGUGCGCCCAAGAGUUUUCAGCCAAAUGCCGUUUCCGUCUUCUACGAUGGUAAUUUGACAAAGAGACGACACUCUUUUUGCAGCUGCAAAAAGUCGUAUUUCUAUUAUUAUUGCCAGAAAAGCAAGAAUGGGAGAUACAGCUUUAAGCUCCCGGAGGCUACAUCCCAAGGUGAGAAAGACAAUGAUGAAAUAUUAUGAAAAUGGAAUGAAACUUGUGUGUGGAAUACAGAUCAGUCAUUACCUCAGCUGAAGUUUGUAUGAAACUUGCCCUUAUAUAUGAAACACAGCCUUGUGGGUCUUUAAAAGUCGCAAAUGCAGAUGGAAUGUAAAAAGGAGUACGCCAUUGUUAACUACUAGAGGCGCCUCACCGGCCAACGUCAUUGUAGUUUAUUACCGCAGCAAACAUGCGCUCAAUCCAUGUCCAUAAAUGAGUCUUUUAGAAAUAGUUUUCAAUAAGGACAAAUAGAUGCAUGGCUCAGAGAGAUUGGACGUAUUGAGAGAAUGGGCUUUGCUGACAGACUGCCUCUCUCAUAAAAAGUUUUUUUUAGUAUUACCCCCCAAAAGUGUCUGAAUUAUCUUUACAUGCCAGAUCGGAGUGCAGCAGCAAAGACCAGCUGUCUGCAGAGAAAAAUAAAAAGGUCAAAAGUAUCAUGCUUUUACUGCACUAAGCUGACGUCCGAACACAAAUCUACUGGCGGCUCGGCCGAGGCACAGUGGUGCUUUGAGCUAAAUACUAACAGCACGCCAACGAUUCCAACAGACCGAAGUGUAUUUUUAAUUGAACUAAGUACAACUGAUGCUGAUGGAUAUGUCAUUAAUAUUUUGGUCAGACAAGAUUAUGGCCCAUGGUGAUGGCAGAUCAAGUAAUAGUUUAGUCUGGACCCAAGAGAUGGGCUAAGUAUAGUGUGAUGUCUGGGUUGAGAAAAGACUGGGCACUUUGUUCAUUUAUCUCCAUCAAAAUGAUCCGUUAAUAAUCUAAACUGCAGACACGUUUCCCGACUGAUGAAAAAUGUCCGCGAAGGACCAAAUGUUUGAAUUGUCCAUAAUUCACACAGUCCAUUGAACAGAAAGGACGCGGAUCCCUGACAGCUCAAUAAUAUCUUAUCACCAUCUCUGGUCACACACACACAAUAGCCGAUUCAUAGAUUCAGAUUGAGGGGUGCAUUGUUCUCUGGGACUGUUAAGGAGCGCUGCACAGAUUCACGGAGCAUCCAUGAGAAACAUCAGUGGCCAUUCUUCCCUCCUUUGACCCCCAAUUAUUCCAUGUCUUUGUCCAUUCCUGCCAUGUAACCGUUAUCGCAGCUGCAUUUCCUCGCCAGAACUAUACGUAUUCAUGUCCAUAGAGAUCGGUUGACAAAAAGAAGAAUGGGAGGUCUGGUGUGGUUAGAGAAAAAUGUGACCAGCUGUUAGAGAGACUCAGAUGUUCAUUUCACAACCAAGCAUAUUAAUACGAGCAUGGAUCUCUGAGCAAUAAGUCAGCAUUUGGGCGGAUUCUGAAGAUAAAUACGAGGUAAGCACAAGGCUACCACAAAGGAUACAGUUAGCUUUGGAUUAACAGCAACGCUGCACACAAACACAUCUUUACGAUAAAAUGCUCUACAGUCUGUGUCUGGAAGUAAAACAAAACCAGUCGUCAGGCAAGCUGGGGGGUUUGUGGGCUUUGUGCUAAGCUAAAUUGAGCUAAGCUAAUCAGCUGCAUAUGUCGCCACAUGGGGGGG
Molecule: long non-coding RNA, 1888 nt
Organism: Gasterosteus aculeatus aculeatus (three-spined stickleback)
Lineage: Eukaryota; Metazoa; Chordata; Actinopteri; Perciformes; Gasterosteidae
Source: Ensembl